GACGAACGCUGGCGGCGUGCUUAACACAUGCAAGUCGAGCGGAGCGGCGAACGGGUGAGUAACGCGUGAGUAACUGCCCCCCUCUCUGGGAUACCCGUUGGAAACGGCUGCUAAUCCCGGAUAGUGGGGGAUGACUCGCGUCCUAUCAGCUUGUUGGGUGGGUAGUGGCCUACCAAGGCGACGACGGGUAGCCGGCCUGCGAGGGAGACCGGCCACAUUGGGCUGAGGUACGGACAGAACGCCUACGGGGGGCAGCAGGGGGGAAUAGUGCACAAUGGGGGAAACCAGGAUGCAGCAACGCCGCGUGCGGGAUGACGGCCGUCGGGUUGUAAACCGCUUUCAGCCAUGACGCGGUAGUGGCAGAAGAAGCACCGGCUAACUACGUGCCAGCAGCCGCGGUAAUAC
Molecule: ribosomal RNA, 405 nt
Filed under: uncultured bacterium
Lineage: Bacteria
Description: partial 16S ribosomal RNA
Rfam family: Bacterial small subunit ribosomal RNA
Source: RNAcentral